GACGAACGCUGGCGGCGUGCUUAACACAUGCAAGUCGAACGGAAAGGCCCUGCUUUUGUGGGGUGCUCGAGUGGCGAACGGGUGAGUAACACGUGAGUAACCUGCCCUUGACUUUGGGAUAACUUCAGGAAACUGGGGCUAAUACCGGAUAGGAGCUCCUGCUGCAUGGUGGGGGUUGGAAAGUUUCGGCGGUUGGGGAUGGACUCGCGGCUUAUCAGCUUGUUGGUGGGGUAGUGGCUUACCAAGGCUUUGACGGGUAGCCGGCCUGAGAGGGUGACCGGCCACAUUGGGACUGCGAGACGGCGCAGACUCCUACGGGAGGCAGCAGGGGGGAAUAUGGCACAAUGGGCGGAAGCCUGAUGCAGCAACGCCGCGUGCGGGAUGACGGGCUUCGGGGUGUAAACCGCUUUCGCCUGUGACGAAGCGGGAGUGACGGUAAUGGGUAAAGAAGCACCGGCUAACUACGUG
This 468-nucleotide ribosomal RNA is filed under the name uncultured bacterium. Its description in RNAcentral is "partial 16S ribosomal RNA". It matches the Rfam family "Bacterial small subunit ribosomal RNA", at positions 28 to 507 of the family's 1533-position model. The record is from RNAcentral.